UGAUCUCACAGAAAAAUAGCAAAGAUCAGCAAACAUUGCCUCGGAACCUGGAUACCCCCUCCCCCUUAUCCACCUUUACUUUCAAAUUAGGCACAUCUUUUGAGGAGCCCACGUGACAAUCAGUGUAAAAUAGUCAAACUGUGAUGAAUCCUUUGAAUACUGAACUUGAAUAUAGUAGAGCGGAUGCGAGUGUUCAUAUAGCAGAACCCCAAGGAAUUUGUAGCGGUGUCAUAGUUGAUUGUUGUGAAUAAGACUCAAACUGAGUGAAAUGCAUUUUGGUGACAUAAGAAAGUGACUGAACUGGAGAACAUCAUUGCCAUAUUAAGAAGAAGAUUUUUAACUGAAAAUGUCCUGGUCAACAAUAUCUCUAGCUAAGUCUUUUCUUCCUUCAACUAUUUCUUGCAUCCCAACAAAAAAGCAAGCUGACAAUCACCUGAAGCGAAUUACUCAAUGAUAGGACUCUAUGAUAUUAUGUAUAUUGUGCUAAUUUUAGAGUUAGAAAUGGAUAUUGAAAAUUAUUUCUUUGUGCUUGUUUUGUGUGAAUUUUGCAGGAGAACCUCUGGUCCAAUUAGGAGAGCAAAGGGUGGUUGGACUCCUGAGUAGGUGAAUAGAAUUCCUUAUAUUUCCAGCAAGUUAACCUAAUAGCUUAAAAUAUCCACUGUCAAGUUUUCGACAGUGGAUACUACUGGUUGUUUUUGUUAAAUGUAGAAGACUGGAAAAGUUUGUUUUUGGCGUAAUAUGUUGGGCGUGUUAAAUUUCUGAUGCUUCUACCCCCAUGUAUAAUUGUUAUUGUACACCAGUUUGAAUUUCUUUAUAAUUGCUUCUUUUCUUUUAAAUGGCAAGUUCAGCUUCUAGUUUUGCUUCUUGGAAUUAUGGCUUGAUUAGAUACAAAAUCUUCCCUUUCACCGGAUGAUACUUUGAAAAGGGCUGUCGCAGUUUUCAGAGGGAAAUGUUGGAAAAAAAUAGGUAUUAUUUAGCUAGUCUCUUUGUUAGUUAGCAAUUAUGAAUUAACCAAUCUUGUGGCAACUUGUUUCACCUUGACAUGGGCAGAUGUUUCAAAACUGAUAGGUGUCCGAUGUGGAAAUAUUGACAUUCACUGUAUUUGAUCAUUGCUGUGGUCUUAUCAUGAAUAUAUUACCAUUUACACUUUGCUGAAUGUCUGUUGGGUCCUGUAAUGCUCUUGGUGCAUCUUUAAUGACAAGCCAAGUCAAUGUAUUCGUGUAUGUUAUUACGUAUAUAUUCCGUUUUGCUUAGGUAUAGGCAUUUGUUUCUGCAAUUUGGAUAUCAUUAGUCAUCCUCUUCUUCUUCAUGCUUUUCUUUUCAAGUGAGAUGUUAGCUUUAAUGUGGAAUUUUGAAUUUGGAGAUAACAAAGGCUGGAAAAUAUCGAAACUCUUCAAAAUAGAUUUUCCAAACUUAGUUUUAUUAGUUGGUAUUAGGAAAUUAUAGCCUUGUCCUAUCAAAGGGUACUUUAACUUUGGUAAACUUUGAAGUCUUAAUUCUGUUGACAAAUAUUUAAGUCAGUCUACGUGGCUAUCAUCUUAUCUAUCAUUUCCUGUUAUUGGAUUCAUGUGGUAACAUAAAAAUGUGACUUUUGGUCAAAAUAUUGAUUCACAUGCACUGAGUUCUUCCCGGAUAGAUCUGAAGUGCAAUGCCUGCAUCGAUGGCAAAAGGUUCUCAAUCCGGAUCUUGUCAAAGGACCAUGGACUCGGGAGGUUUGUUUGCUUUCCUACUUUAGUUUCCUUCUG
This 1745-nucleotide long non-coding RNA is filed under the name Nicotiana benthamiana. RNAcentral's name for it is "long non-coding RNA (NBEN_LNC002950)". The record is from RNAcentral. Lineage: Eukaryota; Viridiplantae; Streptophyta; Magnoliopsida; Solanales; Solanaceae.